CCCGCUGAAUUUAAACAUAUUACUAAGCGGAGGAAAAGAAACUAACUAGGAUUCCCUCAGUAGCAGUACGCGAAAAGGGAGUCUAGCGCUGAAUCCUCAUCCCAUUUCCUCCGUCAGCAGUGUGCUUCGCGCUGUGAUUACAGGCCCAUGUCAGAAAAGGGAAUGGGAAUCCAGGGGUCUUGAUGUGCAAAUCGGUCGUCCGACCUGGGUAUAGGGGCGAAAGACUAAUCAAACCAUCUAGUUACCUCAGAAGUUUCCCUCAGGAUAGCUGGCACUCAGCAUACAGUUUUAGUAGGUAGCAAAUAUUGGUAGUAGCAAUAAUCCAACUAGAGCUUUGAAGACCGAAGUGGUUAAGGGUUCCAUGUAAACAGUCGAACAUGGGUAAGCCGGGCCUAUGCCAUUCGGAAGGGAAGGGUGAUGGCCUCUGUCACCCCUGUCUGACCGUAACAGAGUCGGGUACAGAUUCCCGAGCCCAGAGCAGCAGAGUUGGUGCGGUAACACAAACAAACUGAGAGAGGGGCCCAUGCCCUGGAAAACGACCCUCUACUGGCGGCGUCCUGUGAGCUCUCGUCGGCCCUUGAAAAUCCGGGGGAGAAGGUGUAAGUCUUGUGUCAGGUCAUAUCCAUAUCCCCAGCAUGUCUCCAAGGUGAACAGCCUGUGGAG
RNAcentral lists this non-coding RNA (663 nucleotides) under Danio rerio (zebrafish). Its description in RNAcentral is "Eukaryotic large subunit ribosomal RNA". It matches the Rfam family "Eukaryotic large subunit ribosomal RNA", at positions 24 to 1888 of the family's 3401-position model. Lineage: Eukaryota; Metazoa; Chordata; Actinopteri; Cypriniformes; Danionidae. The record is from Rfam by way of RNAcentral.